Molecule: ribosomal RNA, 372 nt
Filed under: uncultured bacterium
Lineage: Bacteria
Description: partial 16S ribosomal RNA
Rfam family: Bacterial small subunit ribosomal RNA
Source: RNAcentral
AUACGGAGGAUCCGAGCGUUAUCCGGAUUUAUUGGGUUUAAAGGGUGCGCAGGCGGCCAUUUAAGUCAGCGGUUAAAUCGUGGGGCUAUAACCCAUUCUGCCGUUGAUACUGGGUGGUUUGAUUGCGGUCGUGGCUGGCGGAAUUCGUUGUGUAGCGGUGAAAUGCAUAGAUCCGACGAAGAACACCGAUUGCGUAGGCAGCUGACCAGACCGCAAAUGACGCUCAUGCACGAAAGUGCGGGGAUCGAACAGGAUUAGAUACCCUGGUAGUCCGCACAGUAAACGAUGAAUACUUGUUUUCGGCGAUAUAAUGUCGGAGGCAAAGCGAAAGCGAUAAGUAUUCCACCUGGGGAGUACGCCGGCAACGGUGAA